This is a non-coding RNA of Paramuricea clavata, 332 nucleotides long. The record is from the annotation of a GenBank genome assembly. Lineage: Eukaryota; Metazoa; Cnidaria; Anthozoa; Malacalcyonacea; Plexauridae.
GUGUCAAAACGCCUGACUAUUUCCAAAUUUCAACUAGAUCAACAAGUUAAGAUACAAUUCAGGUUCCUUGUUCCAAAAAAUAAGAGCAUUUGAAUAAAUUGUGAAUAAACGGCAGCGACUUGACGGCACACCGGUUUUUGCUUCUUGUUCGGUCCACAAAAUUACACUAAAAUCGAAGCCCGAGAUCUCCAAAUGGGGACCUAAAAUUACGCUGAAAUGUGCUUGGCUGUAAUGAUUUAUACUUAUUUUCAGAAGAUCUGAAGAAAAACCUGCGGGUAUCAAUCUAUAUUUGGCGCGAGUUAAGAUUUUCUGGAGCCCAUAAUCAAUGAUUU